This 406-nucleotide ribosomal RNA is filed under the name uncultured bacterium. RNAcentral's name for it is "partial 16S ribosomal RNA". It matches the Rfam family "Bacterial small subunit ribosomal RNA", at positions 30 to 526 of the family's 1533-position model. The record is from RNAcentral.
AUUGAACGCUGGCGGCAGGCUUAACACAUGCAAGUCGAGCGAGCGGCGGACGGGUGAGUAAUGUCUGGGAAACUGCCUGAUGGAGGGGGAUAACUACUGGACACGGUAGCUAAUACCGCAUACCAUCAGAUGUGCCCAGAGGGUAUUAGCUAGUAGGUGGGGGAAUGGCUCACCUAGGCGACGAUCCCUAGCUGGUCUGAGAGGAGGACCAGCAACACUGGAACUGAGCAACUGUCCAGACUCCUACGGGAGGCAGCAGUGGGGAAUAGUGCACAAGGGGCGCAAGCCUGAUGCAGCCAGGCCGCGUGUGUGAAGAAGGCCUUCGGGUUGUAAAGCACUUUCAGCGAGGAGGCGUUACUCGCAGAAGAAGCACCGGCUAAUUCCGUGCCAGCAGCCGCGGUAAUUC